Molecule: ribosomal RNA, 253 nt
Filed under: uncultured bacterium
Lineage: Bacteria
Description: partial 16S ribosomal RNA
Rfam family: Bacterial small subunit ribosomal RNA
Source: RNAcentral
UACGUAGGGUGCAAGCGUUGUCCGGAAUUAUUGGGCGUAAAGAGCUCGUAGGCGGUUUGUCGCGUCUGCUGUGAAAACUCGGGGCUUAACUCCGGGCCUGCAGUGGGUACGGGCAGACUAGAGUGCGGUAGGGGAGACUGGAAUUCCUGGUGUAGCGGUGAAAUGCGCAGAUAUCAGGAGGAACACCGGUGGCGAAGGCGGGUCUCUGGGCCGUAACUGACGCUGAGGAGCGAAAGCGCGGGGAGCAAACAGG